AUUGAACGCUGGCGGCAUGCCUUACACAUGCAAGUCGAACGGCAGCACGGGUGCUUGCCCCUGGUGGCGAGUGGCGCACGGGUGAGUAAUACAUCGGAACAUGUCCUGUCGUGGGGGAUAGCCCGGCGAAAGCCGGAUUAAUACCGCAUACGAUCUACGGAUGAAAGCGGGGGACCUUCGGGCCUCGCGCUAUAGGGUUGGCCGAUGGCUGAUUAGCUAGUUGGUGGGGUAAAGGCCUACCAAGGCGACGAUCAGUAGCUGGUCUGAGAGGACGACCAGCCACACUGGGACUGAGACACGGCCCAGACUCUGACGGGAGGCAGCAGUGGGGAAUUUUGGACAAUGGGCGAGAGCCUGAUCCAGCAAUGCCGCGUGUGUGAAGAAGGCCUUCGGGUUGUAAAGCACUUUUGUCCGGAAAGAAAUCCUUGGCCCUAAUACGGUCGGGGGAUGACGGUACCGGAAGAAUAAGCACCGGCUAACUACGUG
This 486-nucleotide ribosomal RNA is filed under the name uncultured bacterium. RNAcentral's name for it is "partial 16S ribosomal RNA". It matches the Rfam family "Bacterial small subunit ribosomal RNA", at positions 30 to 507 of the family's 1533-position model. The record is from RNAcentral.